GGAUAUGGCUCAGUGGUAGAACAUUUGCCUAGAAUGCAGGAGGCCCUGGGUUUGAUCCCCAGCAACACA
RNAcentral lists this transfer RNA (69 nucleotides) under Marmota monax (woodchuck). Its description in RNAcentral is "tRNA.Ser". The record is from RNAcentral. Lineage: Eukaryota; Metazoa; Chordata; Mammalia; Rodentia; Sciuridae.